This 292-nucleotide ribosomal RNA is filed under the name uncultured bacterium. Its description in RNAcentral is "partial 16S ribosomal RNA". It matches the Rfam family "Bacterial small subunit ribosomal RNA", at positions 505 to 796 of the family's 1533-position model. The record is from RNAcentral.
GUGCCAGCAGCCGCGGUAACACGGGGGGAGCAAGCGUUGUUCGGAAUCACUGGGCGUAAAGGGCGUGUAGGCGGUUAGGUAAGUGGGAUGUGAAAUCCCCCGGCUCACCCGGGGACCUGCAUCCCAAACUGCCUGGCUUGAGUAUGGGAGAGGAUGGAGGAAUUCCUGGUGUAGCGGUGAAAUGCGUAGAUAUCAGGAGGAACACCGGUGGCGAAGGCGUCCAUCUGGCCCAAUACUGACGCUGAGGCGCGAAAGCUAGGGGAGCGAACGGGAUUAGAAACCCCAGUAGUCC